This 253-nucleotide ribosomal RNA is filed under the name uncultured bacterium. RNAcentral's name for it is "partial 16S ribosomal RNA". It matches the Rfam family "Bacterial small subunit ribosomal RNA", at positions 524 to 776 of the family's 1533-position model. The record is from RNAcentral.
UACGUAGGGGGCAAGCGUUAUCCGGAUUUACUGGGUGUAAACGGAGCGUAGACGGCGGUGCAAGCCAGAUGUGAAAGCCCGGGGCUCAACCCCGGGACUGCAUUUGGAACUGUGCUGCUAGAGUGUCGGAGAGGCAGGCGGAAUUCCUAGUGUAGCGGUGAAAUGCGUAGAUAUUAGGAGGAACACCAGUGGCGAAGGCGGCCUGCUGGACGAUGACUGACGUUGAGGCUCGAAAGCGUGGGGAGCAAACAGG